This is a long non-coding RNA of Vespula vulgaris, 1740 nucleotides long. RefSeq lists it as uncharacterized. The transcript has 2 exons. NCBI's taxonomy places the organism in Eukaryota, Metazoa, Arthropoda, Insecta, Hymenoptera, Vespidae. The record is from RefSeq and is a predicted model, not a curated record.
AUACAUGUGAUCUCACAUUUAUAUUCUAUACAGCUGUUACAUAAGUUUUUUGUCCUAUUGUUAGAAAUUGAUUUUUAGUCAUUUAAUAAUUUGAAGAACAAUAUUCUGAUAAUUCGGACAAAUACAUAUGUUCUCAUUUGCUUUCCGAAUAUAUAUAAGAGAAUCUAUAUAAAUGGAAUAUAGUAAAUAUAGAUAGUUUAUGAACUUUCGAACAGUAUUACACACGAUGGAAGAUAGGGCGUUUUUCAGGCUAAUAAUUGACUGUGGUAAAAGAAAGCUUGUCAAGAUUAUUAUAAUCAAAAUGCUUUAAUGUAAGGAAAUAAAAUAUGAACUUAUUAAAUUUCAGCGAUAAAAAUAUCGAACGUAAGUGAAGAUAAUUGUACGCAGGACGUAACUUAUUAUAAUUAUAAUAUAACAAAAAUUUUGUCUUAACAUGAACAAUGUUAAGAUAAAUAAAUUUGUAAAAUUUCCAAUAUAUGCAAUCUGACUACUUUGAUUGAUUGAUUGACAGAGAGAGAGAGAGAGAGAGAGAGAGAGAGAGAGAGAGAGAAGGCAAAAUUUAUUAUUACUUUUUGUUUCAAUCUGGGAUAGAACAAUUAAAUUUAUGUGGUAUUGCGUACAGGAAGAUUUCAUUAAUUUAUCAGAUUUCUUCUUUUCUUAACGAAUCUUCUACUUGACUGUUAAACAGUAAGAAAUAUAUGCAAAACGAGAUUUUUGUUUACGAACAGAUUCUGUCGUAUCGAAUUCAAUGACCAGGAUAUAAUCUUGUGGACGGUAUACUAUUUGAAAAAUGGCAUUUAUCGAGAUAUUGUACCAAUCUCGUCGUAUUUAAUAGUAUAAGAUUAAAGUUUCAUAACGAACUAAAUGUUCAUAUUCAGUCAAUGCUCUUCUAGUCAAUGAUCAUUUACAAUGCUCUAUGACAAUGUAUCUACGAACCUAGCAAAAAGGUGAACUGAUAUCAAAUUUUUAAAUAUUUAUAUAUAUUUCAUAAUAAUACUAAUUUAGAAGAAUUGUGAAAUAGGCAGUAAAAAUGAUCUCCAAGGGUUUUAUCGCUUGAUUAUUAAUUAUAUCAAAUUAUAUGAAAUAAUGAGAUCUUACUAGAUGGAUUUUACAGUUUUUAUUUCAUAUAUUCAUAAUUUAUUUUUUUUUUGAUAUAUCUACUAUCCUGCACAGAAUUCGAUAUAUACAUAAUUAUUAUACAUAUAGUAUAUAUAUAUGUGUGUGUGUGUGUGUGUGUGUAAUAUAUUUAAAUUAAUAUUAUAAUUUUAAUUAAUUUCUUCUUUCAAAUUGUAAUACUAUAGGUUUUGCCGGUUUUAACGUGAUAUCCAGCUUUAAGGCAAUAUCUUCGAUUACUACAGGCCGAUCAAUUUUAAUAAUAAAUCUUCUUAAAAUAGUAGCAAUUAUCAUCUUCAUUUCUAGCAUAGCAAAUGUUUGACCUAAAACAGUGAAAACAAUUGUAAAUCCAUACUGUUGUGUAACUUUUUGAAAUUUAAUUUCAAUAAUCUGGAAGAAUAUAGAAUUACCUAAGCAACUUCUAGCUCCAAUACCGAAUGGUAAAAAACUGUGAGGAUGAACAUUACCGGAUAGAAACCUAUUUGGAUCAAACUUCAAUGGCUCGUUCCAAUAUUUUUUAUUUCGAUGAAGUUUGAAAAUCCAGAAUAACAAGGAGCUUCCUUUUGGUAUAGUUAAAUUUUGUUCCACUUGAUACAAUUCAUGAAUAAAUAUUAGUAUUAAUUAAUA